GACGUAGGGCGCGAGCGUUGUCCGGAUUUAUUGGGCGUAAAGAGCUCGUAGGCGGCUUGUCGCGUCGUUCGUGAAAACCCACGGCUCAACUGUGGGCUUGCGGUCGAUACGGGCAGGCUGGAGUUCGGUAGGGGAGACUGGAAUUCCUGGUGUAGCGGUGAAAUGCGCAGAUAUCAGGAGGAACACCGGUGGCGAAGGCGGGUCUCUGGGCCGAUACUGACGCUGAGGAGCGAAAGCGUGGGGAGCGAACAGG
This 253-nucleotide ribosomal RNA is filed under the name uncultured bacterium. RNAcentral's name for it is "partial 16S ribosomal RNA". It matches the Rfam family "Bacterial small subunit ribosomal RNA", at positions 524 to 776 of the family's 1533-position model. The record is from RNAcentral.